RNAcentral lists this ribosomal RNA (534 nucleotides) under uncultured bacterium. RNAcentral's name for it is "partial 16S ribosomal RNA". It matches the Rfam family "Bacterial small subunit ribosomal RNA", at positions 355 to 903 of the family's 1533-position model. The record is from RNAcentral.
UGGGGAAUAUUGCACAAUGGGCGAAAGCCUGAUGCAGCAACGCCGCGUGAGUGAUGAAGGUCUUCGGAUUGUAAAGCUCUGUCUUUUGGGACGAUAAUGACGGUACCAAAGGAGGAAGCCACGGCUAACUACGUGCCAGCAGCCGCGGUAAUACGUAGGUGGCGAGCGUUGUCCGGAUUUACUGGGCGUAAAGGGUGCGUAGGCGGAUGUUUAAGUGAGAUGUGAAAUACCCGGGCUUAACUUGGGUGCUGCAUUUCAAACUGGAUAUCUAGAGUGCAGGAGAGGAGAAUGGAAUUCCUAGUGUAGCGGUGAAAUGCGUAGAGAUUAGGAAGAACACCAGUGGCGAAGGCGAUUCUCUGGACUGUAACUGACGCUGAGGCACGAAAAGCGUGGGUAGCAAACAGGAUUAGAUACCCUGGUAGUCCACGCCGUAAACGAUGAGUACUAGGUGUAGGAGGUAUCGACCCCUUCUGUGCCGCAGUAAACACAUUAAGUACUCCGCCUGGGAAGUACGAUCGCAAGAUUAAAAACUCU